AAUAGAUACCCCGGUAGUCCACGCCGUAAACGAUGCACGCUAGGUGUUGGGGGGUUUCGAUACCCUCGGUGCCGAAGUUAACACAGUAAGCGUGCCGCCUGGGGAGUACGCUCGCAAGAGUGAAACUCAGAGGAAGUUGACGGGGACCCGCACAAGCAGUGGAGUAUGUGGUUUAAUUCGAAGCAACGCGAAGAACCUUACCAGGUCUUGACAUCUGGGUGAAAGCGUCAGAGAUGGCGCUGGCCUUCGGGACACCCAAGACAGGUGGUGCAUGGUUGUCGUCAGCUCGUGUCGUGAGAUGUUGGGUUAAGUCCCGCAACGAGCGCAACCCUUGAUCUUAGUUGCCAGCACGUAAAGGUGGGCCCUCUAAGAUGACUGCCGGUGACAAACCGGAGGAAGGUGGGGAUGACGUCAAAUCAUCAUGCCCCUUAUGACCUGGGCUACACACGUACUACAAUGGCCGGUACAACGGGGGGCGAAAGAGCGAUCUGGAGCAAAUCCUUAUAAGCCGGUCUCAGUUCGGAUUGCAGG
Molecule: ribosomal RNA, 531 nt
Filed under: uncultured bacterium
Lineage: Bacteria
Description: bacterial SSU rRNA
Rfam family: Bacterial small subunit ribosomal RNA
Source: RNAcentral